AUAUAUAUAUAUAUAUAUAUAUAUUAUAUAUAAUUUCUCUCCCUAGAAAACUAUCGAAAUGCAAGAGCAAGCAGCAACGAGUUCCGUGGCGGCGAGUCUACCUUCAAGUAGUGAGAGAUCUUCAAGCUCUGCUCUUCAAGUGGAAGUCAAAGAAGGAAUGGAGAGUGAUGAUGAGAUCAGAAGAGUGCCGGAUAUGGGUGGUGAAGCUGCUGGAGCAUCGGGCGGAUCCGUUGCACAUCCAGACCGUGUUCAAGGUACAACCGAAGGUACGAGGAGGAAAGGGAAAAGUCCGGCCGACAAAGAAAACAAGCGGUUGAAGAGGUUGUUGAGGAAUCGAGUUUCGGCUCAACAAGCAAGGGAGAGAAAGAAGGCAUACUUGUUGGAGUUGGAGGUGCGAGUGAAAGAGUUGGAGAAGAAAAAUUCUGAGGUUGAAGAGCGUUUGUCGACGCUGCAAAACGAGAACCAGAUGCUUAGACAUAUCUUGAAGAACACAACGGCUGGUAUGCAAGAGAGGAAAUAGAAGUAGAUUUAGAACCGAUCAUUGAUCGUAGCUAGAAAAUUAAAGCCAAGACUCGGGUUACAGUAAUCUUCAGAGGACCAAUAUGAUGCCCCUUAACUAUAUAAUAUUUAUAUACGGUAGAUUUAAGGGGGUGUUUGGAAUUGCUUAUUUAAAGUGAUUAUUGAUUUAUUCCGUAUGGUACCGGUAAUAAGUCGUUUUGAAUGUUUGGAUGAGAAAAAAUAAUGCUUAUACCGGUGUUGAACCGGUAGUAAAGAGUUUUUGAUAAGUUACACUCUUCUAACUUAUCAAAAACAACUUAUCAGCUUCGAAAUCAAAUUACCUUUUUAACCUUAACCGGAGAAGUCGAAGUGAAGCAACGAAGUUUCUUAGCAGCAAGAGGAGAUGCAGAAUUCGGCGACGUUGGAAGGUCUUCAAAGAACGAUCUCUUCCCACACACAAUCGCAGACAUUGUUUGUUGAAAAUCAAUCGAAUCGUUCCAGUAAUCGCAGACCUGGAUUCAAACCAAGGAAUCGAAUCGAUCCAAGGUCUUCAAACAAACACAAUUCAACUGGUCCUGUAAACCAAGGAAUCAAAUCAAUCCAAUAAUCGGCUUUUCAGAAACGUCCGUUCAUAUGUAAUUUGAAGCGAUUUAGGGUCAGGGUUUUGGGUGUUGGUGAGGGAGAAGAUGAGAUGAUGGCAAUAAUUUGGAGUUUAUAAGUCAACAAUAUAGAAUGCUUUUUUAGAUCAUUUUACAUGUAUA
RNA transcript from Cynara cardunculus var. scolymus (artichoke), 1259 nucleotides. It is a transcript of the gene named transcription factor HY5, with no coding region annotated. Lineage: Eukaryota; Viridiplantae; Streptophyta; Magnoliopsida; Asterales; Asteraceae. The transcript is spliced from 5 exons. The record is from RefSeq and is a predicted model, not a curated record.